Molecule: long non-coding RNA, 1308 nt
Filed under: Taeniopygia guttata (zebra finch)
Lineage: Eukaryota; Metazoa; Chordata; Aves; Passeriformes; Estrildidae
Description: lncRNA (ENSTGUG00000021519.1)
Source: RNAcentral
AUGGUCCCGGCGGGGCCGCCCCGCUCCUGCCUCCUGCUGACGGCCGCGCUGCUGCCGCUGCUGCCGGUACCGGCACCGGGGGCAACCCCGGGGCCCCCCGCGCUCACCGACGCCGAGAUCGAGGAGUUCCUGCGGGGCUUCCUUGGACCCGGGGACGGCGGGGACCGGGACGGGGACCGGGACGGGGACCGGGACGGGGACGGUACUGAGCUGGGCUUCGGCACCGACCUGGGCACCGGCACCGGCACCGGCACGGGCUCUCCGGAGUCUCUGCCGGAGCCUGAGAAACCCAGGAAGGGGAAGAAGGAAAAACCCCCCAAGAAGCCCAAGGAGAGACCCCGGGGCCCCAAGAAGGAUAAGGACAGGGACAAGGUCAAGGACAAAGACCGGGGCAAGAACAAACCCCCCAAGAAAUCCAAGGAGAAGCCGCCGAAAGGCUCAGAAAACCCAUCAAAAGGCUCUGAAAAACCCCCAAAAGGCUCCAAAAAGCCCAAGGAGAAGCCGCCCAAGGAGAAGCCACCCAAGGCCACCAAAUCCUCUGGCAAGAAACCACCGGUGCCACCAAGCCCCCCUACUGUCCGCCAGUCCUCACAGGGCAAGGAGAAUGAAGAGAUCCCCGAGUUCCUGGAGCCUUCUCACAAGGAGGAGGAGGAGGAGGAGGAUGGAGGUGUCCGAGGAGAGCUGGAAGAGCCACCAAAUGAGCGCUGGGGGCCGGGCGGGGAGGACUGGAACCCUGAGCCCCAGCCAGAGGUCCCCGAGGAGCCGGAGCCCCCGACCCUGGACUACAACGAGCAGCUGGAGCGGGAGGACUACGAGGACUGUACGGAGCCGGGCGCUGCCCACGGGGAGGGAUGGGGGGCACGUCCCCCCCGCCCUCAGCACAAAGCCAGCGCCACCCUCUGUGUCCCCAGUCGAGUUCGUCCGGCGGCAGCGGAAGCCCCCCAAGCCCCCGGGCAGGAGGAGACCCGAGCGGGUCUGGCCCCAGCCCGAGGAGACACGUACGUGGCAGGAUGGGGACACGGGGGGCUGGCACUGCUCGGGGUGAGGCUGGGGGGCAGCCCCCAGCCUUGGGAACCAGGGAAGCAGCGUUUUGGGGCAGCCUGGAGCUGGGGUGAGCAUGGGGACAGCAUAAGGGACCCUGUAGGGGCGUGGGGCUCUCUUGGUGGCACACGGGGGUCCUGUAGGGACACAGAGAACCCUGCAGGGACAUGGAGCUCCCAUUGGAGCUUGAGGGACUCCUGGCUAGACACUUGUGGGGAUCUCCUGGGGGCACGGCCAUCCCAGUUACAGGGAUACAGAGGGGUCUGA